Molecule: ribosomal RNA, 357 nt
Filed under: Busseola fusca
Lineage: Eukaryota; Metazoa; Arthropoda; Insecta; Lepidoptera; Noctuidae
Description: partial 12S ribosomal RNA
Source: RNAcentral
UAAAAUUUAAAAUAAAAAUACUAAAAUAGUAUAUAAAUAAGUAUUUAUUGAAACUUAAAUAAUUUGGCGGUAUUUUAGUUCAUUUAGAGGAAUCUGUUUAAUAAUUGAUAUUCCACGAAUAAAUUUACUUAAUUUAUAAUUUUGUAUAUCGUUGUUAUAAAAAUAUUUUUUAAUGAUAUUAAUAUUUAAAAUUUAAUAAUAUAAAUUUAAAUCAGAUCAAGAUGCAGAUUAUAAUUAAGAAUAUAAUGGAUUACAAUAAAUUUAUUUAAAUGGAUUUUAUUUUGUAAAAAUUAAUUGAAAGUGGAUUUAAAUGUAAUUUUAUUUAAUUUAAUAAAAUGAUUAAAAAUUAAAAUAUGU